Molecule: unclassified non-coding RNA, 210 nt
Filed under: Hevea brasiliensis (rubber tree)
Lineage: Eukaryota; Viridiplantae; Streptophyta; Magnoliopsida; Malpighiales; Euphorbiaceae
Source: RNAcentral
GCCUGCUCUCAUUUCACUUUGGUCAAUUGGUUCACUAAGUUUUGGUCAAUUUUUGGGCAUAGUUCCUCAAUGAAAAUUGUGUCAUUUUAUGUCUAUUUUCAUCCCCAAUUGGUGGCAUAUCAAUUGGACUUGUAAAAUUUCAUUUUUGGUCCUUCAAAGUUGACUUGGUCAUGCUGCCAGAAGCAUGACCAUAUACCCUCCGAAUUUGGC